GGAGUUUGGUCCGUGUCUCAGUACCAAUGUGGGGGACCUUCCUCUCAGAACCCCUACUGAUCGUUGCCUUGGUGGGCCGUUACCCCGCCAACAAGCUAAUCAGACGCAUCCCCAUCCCUUAGCGGUAAACCUUUGCUUUCCAUCAGAUGCCAUCCAGAAAGAACAUAGAGUAUUAAUCCGACUUUCGCCGGGCUGUCCUCUAGUAAGGGGAAGGUUGGAUACGCGUUACUCACCCGUGCGCCGGUCGCCAUCAAAGGAAGCAAGCUUCCUUCAUGCUGCCCCACGACUUGCAUGUGUUAAGCCUGUAGCUAGCGUUCAUC
RNAcentral lists this ribosomal RNA (320 nucleotides) under uncultured Prevotella sp. RNAcentral's name for it is "partial 16S ribosomal RNA". Lineage: Bacteria; Pseudomonadati; Bacteroidota; Bacteroidia; Bacteroidales; Prevotellaceae. The record is from RNAcentral.